Molecule: long non-coding RNA, 628 nt
Organism: Cyprinus carpio (common carp)
Lineage: Eukaryota; Metazoa; Chordata; Actinopteri; Cypriniformes; Cyprinidae
Source: Ensembl
CUCUGACAGGGAGCUAAGCAGUGCUCCCAUGCUCUGCGCCUGCUCCUAAGGGUCUCGACUGAAAUCGAGAGAGGGAAAACCUUCAAGUAUAAUGUUCCUUCAGCUUAAAACCUCAUCUGUAAAGGCAUCCAACCAGACGGCAGAGUUCAAAGAAUUUCUGUUUACAUCAGACAAGAUGUCAGUAUGUGAACUGUACCAUCCUGCUUUCCUGGACGAGUGGCUGUCACAUGACUGGAAACUUGAUCAAAUGUGAAUCUGAUUGCUGUCUGAAGACUUUUCUUAUCUGUCCCGAGCACAGCGGGACAGCUGCCAAUCUGAUCCCAGACAUACUGAAAGAACACUGCAAAAUGGCAGGAAAUUCCACUUUGAACAACUCCCAACAACAGCAACAGCACAGAAGAUGCAUUUAAAACCAGGCCAUGAGCCUGUUACAUAAGGGUACAGAGUGAGACUUCAACAAAAGGUGUAUAUUUCUCACGGGGACAAGAAAAAGAGAGCAUGUUGUGGUUAAAAUAGAAAUGCCAACAUAAUUAUAUAUAUAAUAGGCCUAUAUAUGUGUGUGUGUGUGUGUGUGUGUGUGUGUGUGUGUGUGUGUGUGUGUGUGUGUGUGUGUGUGUGUGUGUGUGUG